Molecule: long non-coding RNA, 1726 nt
Organism: Macaca mulatta (Rhesus monkey)
Lineage: Eukaryota; Metazoa; Chordata; Mammalia; Primates; Cercopithecidae
Source: Ensembl
AUGUGUAAGACAAUUGUUGCACUGAGGCUUGUGUAUGCCAGGCAAGGCCAAGCUGGCUCAAAGAGCAACCAGCCACCUGUACAAGGGUGUGCCAGGAGCCGGUGGAGCAGCCACCAACUUCACUCGCUGCCCCUCAUGGUACAUCAGUUCUACCCUAGAGGUAGAGCCCCAGUGCCAUCUGCUUUUCCUCAGGCCUCUGCUCCUUCAGCCAUCAGGUGGCAGUCACUCAGUCUGUUGGAAUCUGGCCAUCCCUGCUUCCUUGAGUGGGUGAGGUUGGUCAAGGUACUUAAUUUCUUCUACCCUAGUGGCAAGGCCUCAGUGUCAUCUGCUUUUCCUCGGGCCUCUGUUCCAUCUGACAUCAGGUGGCAGCCACUCAGGCUGUUGGAAUCUGGCCAUCCCUGCUUCCUUGAGUGGGUGAGGUUGGUGGCUGCUCCACCUGCUCCAGGGGCACCCUUGCAGAGGUGGCUAGUUGCUCUUUGAGACAGCUUGGCCUUGCCUGGCAUGCAUAGAAUGUAGGUACCAAAGUGCUGCUCUGAGUGAGCUUGUCCUUCCUGAGGCCAAAUUCUAAGUCUGGCCAGGGCCACAGAAGGCCUAGGCCCCUGGGUGGAAAUCCUGGCUGCUUUCUGCACUUGAAUAUAAAGUCCUCCUCAAGACGGCCUGUGGUCUACCUCUUCACAAUGAAGAAGCCUGCAGUGCCAUCUGAGCCCUGAGGAACUGACUGGAGCCCUAAAGGCAGCGCUCACCCUGCUCCUGAGCCUGCUGCUCAUUUCCUCUAUAUGACUCCAUUUGUAAGACAGUUGUUGCACUGAGGCUUGUGCAUGCGGGGCAAGGCCAAACUGGCUUGCAACCAGCCAACUCUGCAAGGGUGUGCCAGGAGCCAGUGGACCAGCCUCCAACCUCACUCACUGUCGCUCGUGUACCUCAUUUCUUCUACACUAGAGGUAAGGCCUCAGUGCCGUCUGCUUUUCCACAGGCCUCUGCUCCAUCAGCAAUCAGGUGGCAGCCAGUCCGGCUUUUGGGACCUGGCCAUCCCUACUUCCCUGAGUGGGUGAAGUUGUAUGUUGGUGCAACUGCUCCAGGUGCACCGUUGCAGAGGUGGCUGGUUGCUCUUUGAGCCACCAUGGCCUUGCCUUGCAUGAACAUGCCCCAGCUGCUCUGAGUGAUCUUGUCCUGCCUGGGGCCAAAUUUUAAAUCUACCCAGGACCAUAGAAGGCAGGGUCCUCAGGCCUCUGCUCCAUCAGCACCUGCUCCAGGCGCACCCUUGCAGAGGUGGCUGGUUGCUCUUUGAGCCAACUUGGCCUUGCCUGGCAUGCACAGACCGCAGGUACCGAUGUGCUGCUCUGAGUGAGCUUGUCCUGCCUGUGGCCACAUUCAAAGUCUGGCCAGGGCCACAGAAUGCCUAGUCCCUGGAUUGCAAUCCUGGCUGCUUUCUGCACUUGAAUAUAAAGUCCUCCUCAAGACAGCCCGUGGUCUGCCUCUUGGCAAUGAAGAAGCCCGCAGUACCAUCUGAGCCCUGAGGAAUUGACUGGUGUUUUAAAGGCAGCACACACCCUGCUCCUGAGAUUGCUGCUCAUUUCCUCUAUAUGUCUCCAUUUGUAAGACAAUUAUUGCACUGAGGCUUGUGCACGCCGGGCAAGGCCAAGCUGGCUCAAAGAGCAACCAGACACCUCUGCAAGAAUGUGCCAGUAGGCGGUGGACCACGACCAAUCACACUCGCUGCUGGUCA